AGCACCCCAGAUCUCGGAGCUGAACUGUGAUCCACAGAGGGGCUUAUCUGACUGAAUGCUGGAGUGGAGGAUUAGGAAACCAGCACCAGAACAAGAGGACACAGUCUCAAGCUGUGCCAGGGGAAGUUUAGGCUUGAGUUUCUUCAGUUUGGAUAAUUGCACCUUUCUUGACUGUCAGUUAUACAGUGAAAGAAGUGGGAAGAAUUACUGCAACUGAAUCAUUGGGGAAAUGACAUUACCUCUCUCCUCCUCCUCCUCAAUUAUACCAUCUUUAUGACACAACAUAGACAAGAGGAUGCUCUCCUACUCAGGAGCGACAAGCAAGUUGAUUGGCAUAAGUGGCUUCAGCGUUAAGUGAGGUAACAGCUUAAAGAACCAACUCAUUAUGUGGAAUGACUGUCUGCUGUGAUACUUAAAAUCAUCUUGCAACACUCUGGAGCUCAAUGCAUAAAAUAUUAGCUUGGGCUACAGUGAAUUUGAUGGCAUUGCACAGACUUGGACAUAUAUUAAACAGAGCCACAUCUACUUGAGCUGCGUAAGAACCACUGGGGGAAGCAAAAUCAAUGUUUUCCAAAUGGAAGAGAAAGAAGACAUGAGGAAAAGAAAUGGUAUUUUCAAGCCUCUUUGAAAGGUAACACAAACAAUGUGCAGAGUAAAAAAGCAAUCUCUGAAGAAAAAGCACUUACCAAUGUCUUCACUCUAUAUUUGCCUUGCUUUGGAAGGAUAAGGCAUGGUA
Dryobates pubescens (Downy woodpecker) is the source of this 736-nucleotide long non-coding RNA. RefSeq lists it as uncharacterized. The transcript has 5 exons. The record is from RefSeq and is a predicted model, not a curated record. NCBI's taxonomy places the organism in Eukaryota, Metazoa, Chordata, Aves, Piciformes, Picidae.